This 77-nucleotide transfer RNA is filed under the name Rhodospirillaceae bacterium. RNAcentral describes it as "tRNA-Pro". It matches the Rfam family "tRNA". From Rfam's summary of the family: Transfer RNA (tRNA) molecules are approximately 80 nucleotides in length. Their secondary structure includes four short double-helical elements and three loops (D, anti-codon, and T loops). The record is from RNAcentral. Lineage: Bacteria; Pseudomonadati; Pseudomonadota; Alphaproteobacteria; Rhodospirillales; Rhodospirillaceae.
CGGGGCGUAGCGCAGUCUGGUAGCGCACCUGCUUUGGGAGCAGGGGGUCCCAAGUUCGAAUCUUGGCGCCCCGACCA